GCGGACGGGUGAGUAACACGUGGGAACGUGCCUUUAGGUUCGGAAUAACUCAGGGAAACUUGUGCUAAUACCGAAUGUGCCCUUCGGGGGAAAGAUUUAUCGCCUUUAGAGCGGCCCGCGUCUGAUUAGCUAGUUGGUGAGGUAAUGGCUCACCAAGGCGACGAUCAGUAGCUGGUCUGAGAGGAUGAUCAGCCACAUUGGGACUGAGACACGGCCCAAACUCCUACGGGAGGCAGCAGUGGGGAAUCUUGCGCAAUGGGCGAAAGCCUGACGCAGCCAUGCCGCGUGAAUGAUGAAGGUCUUAGGAUUGUAAAAUUCUUUCACCGGGGACGAUAAUGACGGUACCCGGAGAAGAAGCCCCGGCUAACUUCGUGCCAGCAGCCGCGGUAAUACGAAGGGGGCUAGCGUUGCUCGGAAUUACUGGGCGUAAAGGGAGCGUAGGCGGACAUUUAAGUCAGGGGUGAAAUCCCGGGGCUCAACCUCGGAAUUGCCUUUGAUACUGGGUGUCUUGAGUAUGAGAGAGGUGUGUGGAACUCCGAGUGUAGAGGUGAAAUUCGUAGAUAUUCGGAAGAACACCAGUGGCGAAGGCGACACACUGGCUCAUUACUGACGCUGAGGCUCGAAAGCGUGGGGAGCAAACAGGAUUAGAUACCCUGGUAGUCCACGCCGUAAACGAUGAUUGCUAGUUGUCGGGAUGCAUGCAUUUCGGUGACGCAGCUAACGCAUUAAGCAAUCCGCCU
Molecule: ribosomal RNA, 740 nt
Filed under: Brevundimonas nasdae
Lineage: Bacteria; Pseudomonadati; Pseudomonadota; Alphaproteobacteria; Caulobacterales; Caulobacteraceae
Description: bacterial SSU rRNA
Rfam family: Bacterial small subunit ribosomal RNA
Source: RNAcentral